Rhinopithecus roxellana (golden snub-nosed monkey) is the source of this 296-nucleotide long non-coding RNA. RefSeq lists it as uncharacterized. The record is from RefSeq and is a predicted model, not a curated record. Lineage: Eukaryota; Metazoa; Chordata; Mammalia; Primates; Cercopithecidae. The transcript has 3 exons.
ACGAGUCCUGUGAUGGAAGCUAAACAUAUCCAAAGUGGUGUAUGAAAACAACCAGGGGUGUGGACAAGAGACACGGCCUCCAGACUGGACUGAACAUCUUACCAGUAAAAAUAAUUUUGAGCAACUCAAUACAUUGAGAUGCAGAAGUCAGAAAAGAGAGGAUCAGGAAGCCAUCAAUUCUGCUUUUACCUGUGCACUUUUUUCUUCUGUAGUUAAAACUAACACUAUAUUGUAUAAGACGGUCUGCAAGCCAAGCGUUCUUCUUCUGCCUCCAUUUGUAUGUAAAUCGGUUCAGG